AUGCAGUACAGCUCUAGAGGAUACUAUGGUGAAAGUGUGUGUGGGGACAGUUUAGUUCUUCCAUCCCAUCCUGCUGACAGCUGUUCCCACCCCAUGCCCUUGCCCCUGCCACCUGAGCUCCAUAGGACUCCCUGUUCUCCAGCACAUCUCCUAUGGUUCUGUUUGUUGUUGCUUCUGUGUGCGUGUAGAUGCCUUAAGCACGUGUUUUGCCCGGUGCAGGUGUCACUCAGCUGCCUGUGCAAUCUGGGGAAAACAAACAAGAUGUGGCAACUUUUGGAGCAGAAAGUGAACGCAGCCCGCUGUGACCUGCUCUUCACUGAGGACAUCAAUCGAAGGAUGCAGGUCCCCAACAGACUCACUGUGGCAAAUAGCUUCAGCCCUGUGGAUGAGGAGCCCAUGCCUGAAGGUGUACCCCCUUCCUUUCCAACACACAUCCCUGUUAGGAUUUCACUUGCAGCAUCAGAUGCAGAUCUGAGACCCAUCCUGCUGGACCAGCAGAGGAAUGUCCCCUGCACUGAGGUGUGCGUGUCCCUAGACUCCUCGGCUCAGCACUUUGCACUGGGGGAGCUUCCUUUUAUGCACAUGGCUGGCAGAUCAAGUGCCCAGAAUCGCAGACGACUGGGCCACCACAGCAGCAGGUCACGGCGGCAGAGCCAGCACAGCAGUGGAUCACGGCGGUCCCCAAGUGACAGCACCCAGCUGGCCUUGCCCAGCCCAGCCCUGCACCAUGAGCGCUCCCAGGAGGUUGGCGCAGCCCCAGAGGAGGUCAUCGUGGCUGAGGCUGCAGCAAUGAAAAAGGAGCUGGCAAGGAUCUCGGAGCGGCUGUGUGUGCUGGAGGAGCAGCACAAGGCUUGGCGGAAAGAGGAGCCCCUGGUGUACUCCAUGCUGCUCUCUGCCUGCCUCGUCAACACCUGGCUCUGGCUGUGGAGAUGACUCUGUGCCUUGGGCUCCCUGACCCACCCUGG
RNAcentral lists this long non-coding RNA (965 nucleotides) under Phasianus colchicus (ring-necked pheasant). RNAcentral describes it as "lncRNA (ENSPCLG00000006545.1)". The record is from RNAcentral. Lineage: Eukaryota; Metazoa; Chordata; Aves; Galliformes; Phasianidae.